UGUAUGUAUGUGUGUGUGUAUAUAUAUAUAUAUAUAUAUAUAUAUAUGCGCACGCACACACAUUUU
Non-coding RNA from Podarcis lilfordi (Lilford's wall lizard), 66 nucleotides. The record is from the annotation of a GenBank genome assembly. NCBI's taxonomy places the organism in Eukaryota, Metazoa, Chordata, Lepidosauria, Squamata, Lacertidae.